AGUCGAGCGGAACGAGUUAUCUGAACCUUCGGGGAACGAUAACGGCGUCGAGCGGCGGACGGGUGAGUAAUGCCUAGGAAAUUGCCCUGAUGUGGGGGAUAACCAUUGGAAACGAUGGCUAAUACCGCAUGAUGCCUACGGGCCAAAGAGGGGGACCUUCGGGCCUCUCGCGUCAGGAUAUGCCUAGGUGGGAUUAGCUAGUUGGUGAGGUAAGGGCUCACCAAGGCAACGAUCCCUAGCUGGUCUGAGAGGAUGAUCAGCCACACUGGAACUGAGACACGGUCCAGACUCCUACGGGAGGCAGCAGUGGGGAAUAUUGCACAAUGGGCGCAAGCCUGAUGCAGCCAUGCCGCGUGUGUGAAGAAGGCCUUCGGGUUGUAAAGCACUUUCAGUCGUGAGGAAGGCGGCGUCGUUAAUAGCUGCGUUGUUUGACGUUAGCGACAGAAGAAGCACCGGCUAACUCCGUGCCAGCAGCCGCGGUAAUACGGAGGGUGCGAGCGUUAAUCGGAAUUACUGGGCGUAAAGCGCAUGCAGGUGGUUUGUUAAGUCAGAUGUGAAAGCCCGGGGCUCAACCUCGGAAUAGCAUUUGAAACUGGCAGACUAGAGUACUGUAGAGGGGGGUAGAAUUUCAGGUGUAGCGGUGAAAUGCGUAGAGAUCUGAAGGAAAUACCGGUGGCGAAGGCGGCCCCCUGGACAGAUACUGACACUCAGAUGCGAAAGCGUGGGGAGCAAACAGGAUUUAGAUACCCUGGUAGUCCACGCCGUAAACGA
This 771-nucleotide ribosomal RNA is filed under the name Vibrio sp. AU340_Ted3_MB. Its description in RNAcentral is "bacterial SSU rRNA". It matches the Rfam family "Bacterial small subunit ribosomal RNA", at positions 60 to 809 of the family's 1533-position model. The record is from RNAcentral. Lineage: Bacteria; Pseudomonadati; Pseudomonadota; Gammaproteobacteria; Vibrionales; Vibrionaceae.